Bradysia coprophila is the source of this 404-nucleotide long non-coding RNA. The record is from RefSeq and is a predicted model, not a curated record. Lineage: Eukaryota; Metazoa; Arthropoda; Insecta; Diptera; Sciaridae.
UUGUAAUUCAACGCUAUGGAACUAUCAGCAAAUAGAAUUGUUUUGGUUGCACUGGUAUCCACACUGCUGAAUGAUCAAAUAUUUACAGAACAUUUAAAGAAUGCACAAGGCAUUUGUGAAAGGUGCAAUGGAAUUUGCAAUCCGCAAUUUUGUAAAAUUAAUGUGUCAUGCCGCCCGUUAAAUCGAACUUCCAAAUGGUUGACACUUGACAUUACUUUCCAUAAAGGAGUCGUACUCAGUGCUCCGUUGAUUAUAGACGUUGUUGCAUACAAAAAAUUCAGAACCGAAUACCGACAAUUUAUGGUGAAAUUGAAAGCCGAAUAUUGUCAUGAGCUAGCCAAAAAAAAUCAUCCUAUCUUCAAAUUUUUUGAUGAGAUCUCAUUAAAAGACGGAACAUUAUUUGA